UGUCAGACUCGACAAAUCAAGAUAAGUACACGGGAUGAAAGAUAGGACAAAUGCCAAAGAAAGAGAAGGAAUAGAAUCGGAUCUUAGUGAAUGCCCUCAGUCUGCUUUGCUCCAUCUAAGGCUAGGGUUAGGCACUUCAUCUCCCAAACAGCCUUUAAAUAGCAAAGGUUACGGAUUCAAUUGCUAAGAGGGCAUUCGAGUCGAGUCAACUUAGGGAAAAAAGCUUUGCUCUAUAGUUGAAGAGCUUCUUUCCGUUACUAUUUGACAAGUGGAGUUGUCACUCGGAGCCCCUCUGUCAACAAAACAAGCCGUUAGUCAAGAGGUUAGAAACCGUGUUCGGUAUCGACAGAGAAA
Molecule: unclassified non-coding RNA, 354 nt
Filed under: Hevea brasiliensis (rubber tree)
Lineage: Eukaryota; Viridiplantae; Streptophyta; Magnoliopsida; Malpighiales; Euphorbiaceae
Source: RNAcentral